UAGACCGAUAGCGAACAAGUAGAGUGAUCGAAAGAUGAAAAGCACUUUGAAAAGAGAGUUAAACAGCACGUGAAAUUGUUGAAAGGGAAGCGCUUGCGACCAGACUCGGCCUCGGGGUUCAGCCAGCAUUCGUGCUGGUGUACUUCCCCGGGGCCGGGCCAGCGUCGGUUCGGGCGGCCGGUCAAAGGCCCCAGGAAUGUAUCGUCCUCCGGGACGUCUUAUAGCCUGGGGUGCAAUGCGGCCAGCCUGGACCGAGGAACGCGCUUCGGCACGGACGCUGGCGUAAUGGUUGCAAACGACCCGUCUUGAAACACGGACCAAGA
This 323-nucleotide ribosomal RNA is filed under the name Aspergillus sp. RNAcentral describes it as "partial large subunit ribosomal RNA". It matches the Rfam family "Eukaryotic large subunit ribosomal RNA", at positions 330 to 671 of the family's 3401-position model. Lineage: Eukaryota; Fungi; Ascomycota; Eurotiomycetes; Eurotiales; Aspergillaceae. The record is from RNAcentral.